This 468-nucleotide ribosomal RNA is filed under the name uncultured bacterium. RNAcentral describes it as "partial 16S ribosomal RNA". It matches the Rfam family "Bacterial small subunit ribosomal RNA", at positions 28 to 507 of the family's 1533-position model. The record is from RNAcentral.
GACGAACGCUGGCGGCGUGCUUAACACAUGCAAGUCGAACGGAAAGGCCCGGCUUUUGUGGGGUGCUCGAGUGGCGAACGGGUGAGUAACACGUGAGUAACCUGCCCUUGACUUUGGGAUAACUUCAGGAAACUGGGGCUAAUACCGGAUAGGAGCUCUUGCUGCAUGGUGGGGGAUGGAAAGAUUCGGCGGUUGGGGCUGGACUCGCGGGUUAUCAGCCUGUUGGUGGGGUAGUGGCUUAACAAGGCUUAGACGGGUAGCCGGCCUGGGAGCGUGAACGGCCACAUGGGGACUGAGAUACGGCCCAGACGCGUACGGGAGGCAGCAGUGGGGAAUAUUGCAUAAUGGGCGGAAGCCUGAUGCAGCAACGCCGCGUGCGGGAUGACGGCCUUCGGGUUGUAAACCGCUUUCGCCUGUGACGAAGCGGGAGUGACGGUAAUGGGUAAAGAAGCACCGGCUAACUACGUG